AGCGAACGCUGGCGGCAGGCCUAACACAUGCAAGUCGAACGAACCUUUCGGGGUUAGUGGCGGACGGGUGAGUAACACGUGGGAACGUGCCUUUAGGUUCGGAAUAACUCAGGGAAACUUGUGCUAAUACCGAAUGUGCCCUUCGGGGGAAAGAUCUAUCGCCUUUAGAGCGGCCCGCGUCGGUUUAGCUAGUUGGUUGAGGUAAUGGCGCACCAAGGCGACGAUCAGUACCUGGUCUGAGAGGAUGAUCAGCCACAUUGGGACUGAGACACGGCCCAAACUCCUACGGGAGGCAGCAGUGGGGAAUCUUGCGCAAUGGGCGAAAGCCUGACGCAGCCAUGCCGCGUGAAUGAUGAAGGUCUUAGGAUUGUAAAAUUCUUUCACCGGGGACGAUAAUGACGGUACCCGGAGAAGAAGCCCCGGCUAACUUCGUG
RNAcentral lists this ribosomal RNA (434 nucleotides) under uncultured bacterium. Its description in RNAcentral is "partial 16S ribosomal RNA". It matches the Rfam family "Bacterial small subunit ribosomal RNA", at positions 29 to 507 of the family's 1533-position model. The record is from RNAcentral.